This 821-nucleotide ribosomal RNA is filed under the name uncultured Neisseria sp. Its description in RNAcentral is "bacterial SSU rRNA". It matches the Rfam family "Bacterial small subunit ribosomal RNA", at positions 30 to 841 of the family's 1533-position model. The record is from RNAcentral. Lineage: Bacteria; Pseudomonadati; Pseudomonadota; Betaproteobacteria; Neisseriales; Neisseriaceae.
UGAACGCUGGCGGCAUGCUUACACAUGCAAGUCGGACGGCAGCACAGAGAAGCUUGCUUCUUGGGUGGCGAGUGGCGAACGGGUGAGUAACAUAUCGGAACGUACCGAGUAGUGGGGGAUAACUGAUCGAAAGAUCAGCUAAUACCGCAUACGUCUUGAGAGGGAAAGCAGGGGACCUUCGGGCCUUGCGCUAUUCGAGCGGCCGAUAUCUGAUUAGCUAGUUGGUGGGGUAAAGGCCUACCAAGGCGACGAUCAGUAGCGGGUCUGAGAGGAUGAUCCGCCACACUGGGACUGAGACACGGCCCAGACUCCUACGGGAGGCAGCAGUGGGGAAUUUUGGACAGUGGGCGCAAGCCUGAUCCAGCCAUGCCGCGUGUCUGAAGAAGGCCUUCGGGUUGUAAAGGACUUUUGUCAGGGAAGAAAAGGCUGUUGCUAAUAUCAGCGGCUGAUGACGGUACCUGAAGAAUAAGCACCGGCUAACUACGUGCCGGCAGCCGCGGUAAUACGUAGGGUGCGAGCGUUAAUCGGAAUUACUGGGCGUAAAGCGAGCGCAGACGGUUACUUAAGCAGGAUGUGAAAUCCCCGGGCUCAACCUGGGAACUGCGUUCUGAACUGGGUGACUAGAGUGUGUCAGAGGGAGGUAGAAUUCCACGUGUAGCAGUGAAAUGCGUAGAGAUGUGGAGGAAUACCGAUGGCGAAGGCAGCCUCCUGGGAUAACACUGACGUUCAUGCUCGAAAGCGUGGGUAGCAAACAGGAUUAGAUACCCUGGUAGUCCACGCCCUAAACGAUGUCAAUUAGCUGUUGGGCAACUUGAUUGUUC